AGAUCAAACUGAAGAGUUUGAUCCUGGCUCAGAUUAAACGCUAGCGGCAUGCCUUACACAUGCAAGUCGAACGGCAGCGGGCUCUUCGGAGUGCCGGCGAGUGGCAGACGGGUGAGUAAUACAUCGGAACAUGCCCAGUAGUGGGGGAUAGCUCGGCGAAAGCCGAAUUAAUACCGCAUACGACCUUCGGGUGAAAGGGGGGGAUCUUCGGACCUCUCGCUAUUGGAGUGGCCGAUGGCUGAUUAGUUUGUUGGUGGGGUAACGGCCUACCAAGACUGCGAUCAGUAGCUGGUCUGAGAGGACGAUCAGCCACACUGGGACUGAGACACGGCCCAGACUCCUACGGGAGGCAGCAGUGGGGAAUCUUGGACAAUGGGCGAAAGCCUGAUCCAGCAA
This 396-nucleotide ribosomal RNA is filed under the name Pseudomonadota bacterium. RNAcentral describes it as "bacterial SSU rRNA". It matches the Rfam family "Bacterial small subunit ribosomal RNA", at positions 1 to 394 of the family's 1533-position model. Lineage: Bacteria; Pseudomonadati; Pseudomonadota. The record is from RNAcentral.